CCUACGGGAGGCAGCAGUGGGGAAUCUUGCGCAAUGGGCGAAAGCCUGACGCAGCAACGCCGCGUGCGGGAUGAAGGCCCUCGGGUUGUAAACCGCUUUCAGCAGGGACGAAAUUGACGGUACCUGCAGAAGAAGCCCCGGCCAACUACGUGCCAGCAGCCGCGGUAAUACGUAGGGGGCGAGCGUUGUCCGGAUUCAUUGGGCGUAAAGAGCUCGUAGGCGGCUUGGCAAGUCGGGUGUGAAAACUUCAGGCUCAACCUGGAGCGGCCACCCGAUACUGCUAUGGCUAGAGUCCGGUAGGGGAGCGUGGAAUUCCUGGUGUAGCGGUGAAAUGCGCAGAUAUCAGGAGGAACACCGGUGGCGAAGGCGGCGCUCUGGGCCGGAACUGACGCUGAGGAGCGAAAGCGUGGGGAGCGAACAGGAUUAGAUACCCGAGUAGU
This 440-nucleotide ribosomal RNA is filed under the name uncultured bacterium. Its description in RNAcentral is "bacterial SSU rRNA". It matches the Rfam family "Bacterial small subunit ribosomal RNA", at positions 338 to 794 of the family's 1533-position model. The record is from RNAcentral.